GCCCGUUUAGCUCAGUGGUAGAGCGCGCCACUCGUACCUGCGUAAUGGUGAGGUCGGUUGUUCAAUCCAGCCAAUGGGCA
This 80-nucleotide transfer RNA is filed under the name Peniophora sp. CONT. It matches the Rfam family "tRNA". From Rfam's summary of the family: Transfer RNA (tRNA) molecules are approximately 80 nucleotides in length. Their secondary structure includes four short double-helical elements and three loops (D, anti-codon, and T loops). Lineage: Eukaryota; Fungi; Basidiomycota; Agaricomycetes; Russulales; Peniophoraceae. The record is from Rfam by way of RNAcentral.